Molecule: ribosomal RNA, 253 nt
Filed under: uncultured bacterium
Lineage: Bacteria
Description: partial 16S ribosomal RNA
Rfam family: Bacterial small subunit ribosomal RNA
Source: RNAcentral
UACGUAGGUGACAAGCGUUGUCCGGAUUUACUGGGCGUAAAGAGCGCGCAGGCGGUCGUUCAAGUCGGGUGUGAAAGCCCCCGGCUCAACUGGGGAGGGUCAUUCGAUACUGAUCGACUCGAAGGCAGGAGAGGGUAGUGGAAUUCCCGGUGUAGCGGUGAAAUGCGCAGAUAUCGGGAGGAACACCGGUGGCGAAGGCGGUUCUCUGGGCCUGUACUGACGCUGAGGUGCGAAAGCGUGGGGAGCAAACAGG